Molecule: transfer-messenger RNA, 357 nt
Filed under: human gut metagenome
Rfam family: transfer-messenger RNA
About the family: Bacterial tmRNA, also known as 10Sa RNA or SsrA, is named for its dual tRNA and mRNA-like properties.
Source: RNAcentral
GGGGGUGUACAGGUUUCGACAGAUUUGUUAGGGGAAAGUUAUAAGCAUGUUGUGUGGCUGGACACAUAAAUCACGGCAAAAAUUUAAACGCAAACACAAAUUAUGCGUAUGCUUGCUAAUUAAACUUUUUUUAGUUAGACAAACAUUGUCUGUUUCACAGUUCUUGCGAGUGAAAUAAGGCAUUAUAAAGCAAGAAAAAUAGGUUAAGUUUGUUCUUAACUUAACUUAUUAAAUAAAGAGCAAGUUGAUAAAUGGUUUUGUUUGUUUCUGUUUUUCAACUAAUUAAAACAGACUAAGCAUGUAGAAGGAUUUUGUCCGCAAGUUUGGACGCGAGUUCGAUUCUCGCCACCUCCACCA